Molecule: small nuclear RNA, 108 nt
Organism: Eptesicus fuscus (big brown bat)
Lineage: Eukaryota; Metazoa; Chordata; Mammalia; Chiroptera; Vespertilionidae
Source: RefSeq, a predicted model, not a curated record
GUGCUCACUUCACAGCACAUGUACUCAAAUUGGAACAAUACAGAGAAGAUGAGUAUAUAGCCCCUUUGCAAGAAUAACAUACAAAUCUGCGAAGUGUAAAACAUAAAU